Molecule: long non-coding RNA, 1627 nt
Organism: Fukomys damarensis (Damara mole-rat)
Lineage: Eukaryota; Metazoa; Chordata; Mammalia; Rodentia; Bathyergidae
Source: Ensembl
CGCUCAGAUCCCGACCCAUGGGCCCUGAGCAGCAGCCCGACUGCCCCCCCACCCAAGGGCGACCUGGCCGGCGGCUGGGAGGAGCCUUUGCAGGAUGAGUCAGCUCUCUUGGGAACAACUCCGCUUCCAGCCCAGCUGGGCUCAGCCCAAACGUUUGAGUGCCAUCUCAGGCCUCUCCAUGGUCCUCUUGGUUCCCUCUCUGUCACUGCAGAGCUGACCUCUGGGGACCAGCAGGGUCACUUCGCCCCUAGGAAAGCUGCCCUUUCUGGGGUACCCCUUUCCAGAGGUGGGAUCAGCCCGAUGCUCCUCCUUCCUCUUUUGGAAUGGUCAUUAAACCUAGGGCCUUUGCACUGAACUACAUUCCCAGCUCCCUCUCCCACCCCUUUAUUUUUGGGGGCAGAGUCUUGCUAAGUCUCUAAGUUGCCCAGGCUGGGCUCAAACUUGCAACCCUCCUGCCUCAGCCUCCUAGAGUGCUGGGGUUGUAGGUGUGCCCAGCUCUGGCAGCUCCUUGACUCUAGCUUGGUUUCUACAUCUGCAUUCCUGGAGAAGGAGACAGGAUGCUCAUUGCAUCCACAGAGAGCAGAGGUCCUGGUCACCUGGGAAGCAAGCAACACAGCCAGAUGGCCAGGCCCUGGUGCUGGCUCCACAUUAUCUGGGACAGUGAGCAUGUUUGGCCUGCUCAGACCUGCCACGCUGGCCCCUGUGACUCACCGGCUCCUCUCUGAUGCCUCCCAGGAGAGGGAGGGCAGGGCCCUGCUGGCUCCAGCUGAGCUCCGGGGAAAGCCCGGUGGGGCAGUGAGGGAGGGCUUGCUGAAGAGGCUGUCCCAGCUGCAGGACACCUGUCAUUGGAACUAGAAGCACCUAAACCCAGGAUGAUCUCAAGAUGCAAGGUGGUGCACUCUGGGAGGCUGAGGCAGAAGGAUCACAAAUUCAAGCCAAUCUGGGUAACUUAACUAGACUCUGUCAAAACGCAAAAAUAGAAAAGAGCUGCUGGGUAUGUAUCUCAAUGCAGAAUGCCCUAGAUUCAAUUCCAAGUUCUGAAAAAAAAAAUCCUUGACUACAAGUGCAAAGAUCCUGUUUAUUAUGUAUUAUGUGGUUCCCAGGGCUGCUUGCUGCAUCCCCCCUCUCCCCCUGCAUAUGGGUCCUCCAGCUUGAUCAGGAGGACCCCAGUGAGGGCUGCUUUGGCUCCCACCCACCUCUGACUGUUCCAGAAUGAAGAGUCCAGGCCAGUACAGGAUGCUGCCUUCCUCAAAACCUCCUCUGUACUGGACAGGCGGAUGCCUGGAAUUCCACAGGAAUUCCCCUGGGAACCUAGUGACCGAAACCAAGGCAGCUCUGAGGCUGGGGCCCAGGCUGAGCUGGUACAGCUCUGAUCUGCACUCUGGUGGGGCCCUGGCUCCUGCCUGUGGGUCCCCUUGAAAUUACACACACACACACACAUACACACACACACACACACCCCUAGGAGUCACAGACAGCCCCGGCACCACAGCUGUGGAAUCGCAUCUUCGCUGCAUGCACAAGGCCUGGCCUGCAGCACAGCCGGAGCCACACCUGUCCACAGGGCCACCUGAGACUGCUUGGGGGCACGUCGGUCUAGUCUGAACGUGGAUCCUGCUCUGCAGCC